GGAAAGUUGAAAGAACUCUGAAGAGAGAGUUCAAUAGUACGUGAAACCAUAAUGAGUAAAACGGAUAACUGUACUAUUUUAGUGUUUUGCUUUUCAACAGUUAGUAGCGAUAUUCGACAGUGCGAGAAUUAGCUGUUUUUCAGCGAAAUUCACGUAGGUAGAAUGCCGUCAUAAGCUGUGAUUUAGUGCAAUUCCUAUCAUUAAAAAGCUUUAUGAUCCGGGCAGAGGUGUGUUGCAGUUCGCACUAUGUGCGAAGUAACAUGCUGUGCUAUGUGGUUGUUGAGUUUGGCUGAGAUUACUUUAGUCCGAGGUGCUUAAAGCUUUUGCGACAUGUGUGUCUAGCAGACUUGUUUAUUCUGGUUUGUGGCGAUCAUGUGGUAAUUGUUUGCGCUUCAUGUUUAAUGAUCAAGUACUAGUUAUUCGACCCGUCUUGAAACACGGACCAAGGAGUUCAAAUGGCACGCGAGUCAUUGGGUGUAAACAUCCAAAGGCGAAGUGAAAUGCGAGCGUAUUGUUAUUUGUGGUAUCCACGAAAAAAUGAUAAGCUACUGAUGCUAUCAGGCAUUUGUAGACUACAAGCGUGUCGUUUGAGACCCGAAAGAUGGUGAUCUAUGCCUAGUCAAGAUGAAGCCAGAGGAAACUCUGGUGGAUGUCUGAAGUUUUUCUGACGUGCAA
This 675-nucleotide ribosomal RNA is filed under the name Poecilochirus carabi. RNAcentral describes it as "partial large subunit ribosomal RNA". It matches the Rfam family "Eukaryotic large subunit ribosomal RNA", at positions 358 to 896 of the family's 3401-position model. Lineage: Eukaryota; Metazoa; Arthropoda; Arachnida; Mesostigmata; Parasitidae. The record is from RNAcentral.